GAAGGUUUCCAAAUAAUCUUGCAGCUAUGGUUACCAUCUGCGAAACUAUUCAAGAAACACUACAAGAUGACUGCAAUCCUAGCUGCCCGUGCAAGGCAACAUUCAUUCAAGAAAAUACAUACAAAUCACACGUCACAAAAGAAACGUUCAAAAUAUCUAUGAGGGUGUUACUAAACAUCUUCGGAAUUUUGGUAGCAAUAGGAGCCUGUUACAUGAUAAUCAACACUGAUUCGAGAUUGUACCUCAUAUUUUGGGUUUGCUACUCUGUACUACGCAGAAUGAUGUUGAAGACGAAGAAACAUGUGAAGAUGGAUUAAUUGAAGGAUUUGAAGAUGUUUCUAAAAUUGUUUUAAAUAAUUUUAAUGGAAAGUCGCACUGAUAUUUAUUUUAGCGUUAGAUUAUUUAUUCCGAUCACUAAGCAUGCUCAGUACUCAGUAAAUUAUUGAAAUGUUGUUUUGAA
Plodia interpunctella (Indianmeal moth) is the source of this 460-nucleotide long non-coding RNA. RefSeq lists it as uncharacterized. The transcript is spliced from 2 exons. NCBI's taxonomy places the organism in Eukaryota, Metazoa, Arthropoda, Insecta, Lepidoptera, Pyralidae. The record is from RefSeq and is a predicted model, not a curated record.